RNAcentral lists this ribosomal RNA (305 nucleotides) under uncultured bacterium. RNAcentral describes it as "bacterial SSU rRNA". It matches the Rfam family "Bacterial small subunit ribosomal RNA", at positions 335 to 638 of the family's 1533-position model. The record is from RNAcentral.
GCCCCUACGGGGCGCAGCAGUGAGGAAUAUUGGUCAAUGGCCGGAAGGCUGAACCAGCCAAGCCGCGUGAGGGAGGAAGGCGCAGAGCGUCGCAGACCUCUUUUGCCGGGGGACAAAAGGCCGGACUCGUCCGGUCCUGAGGGUACCCGGAGAAAAAGCAUCGGCUAACUCCGUGCCAGCAGCCGCGGUAAUACGGAGGAUGCGAGCGUUAUCCGGAUUCAUUGGGUUUAAAGGGUGCGUAGGCGGACAGUCAAGUCAGCGGUAAAAAUGCGGUGCUCAACGCCGUACAGCCGUUGAAACUGGCA